UUUGCUGGCGACCGGCGCACGGGUGAGUAACACGUAUCCAACCUGCCCUUUACUCGGGGAUAGCCUUUCGAAAGAAAGAUUAAUACCCGAUAGCAUAAUGAUUCCGCAUGGUUUCAUUAUUAAAGGAUUCCGGUAAAGGAUGGGGAUGCGUUCCAUUAGGUUGUUGGUGAGGUAACGGCUCACCAAGCCUUCGAUGGAUAGGGGUUCUGAGAGGAAGGUCCCCCACAUUGGAACUGAGACACGGUCCAA
This 249-nucleotide ribosomal RNA is filed under the name uncultured bacterium. RNAcentral's name for it is "partial 16S ribosomal RNA". It matches the Rfam family "Bacterial small subunit ribosomal RNA", at positions 84 to 334 of the family's 1533-position model. The record is from RNAcentral.